Molecule: ribosomal RNA, 735 nt
Filed under: Triticum aestivum (bread wheat)
Lineage: Eukaryota; Viridiplantae; Streptophyta; Magnoliopsida; Poales; Poaceae
Description: partial small subunit ribosomal RNA
Source: RNAcentral
AUGCAGGACAAAUGGAAAUCAAAUUUAGAUGAGUAUGAAGUACACACUGCAAGUGAUGGGUCUGAAUCAGAUGACAGUGACUAUGCUAUUCCCCCAGCAGAGAGCAAUAGCUCAGCAUCUGAUGAUGAAGUGCUAGAGUUGAGGAAAUAUGCUAAAGAAUUGAAGGAGAAAGUCAGAAAGAACAUGCUGAGAGAAGAGGAGGGCAAACCAUGCAAUGUGCCUGAAGAAUUUAUUAUCCCAGAAACAUUUAAGCUAGAUGAUUCAGAUGGAGAAGGAACACCAUAUUUCGAAAGUGAUGAUGACUUGUCAUAUGAUGAAGGCUGUGAUGGAGAGGUAAAUGAAGUGAGAAGAAGGAAAACAACACACAGAGUUUUUGAUGACAGUACUGACAAACCAGAAUUUGCUGUCGGCAUGGCAUUUCAAGAUAGCAGGGAGUUCAAACAGGCACUGGUUAAGUAUGGGCUAGCAAAUUUCCACCAUUUAAGAUUUCCAAAAGAUGAAAAGAAAAGAGUCAGUGCAGAGUGUUCCUGGCCUGGUUGUCCUAGGAGCAUUUAUGGUUCCAUUACUAGCAGGUCUGAUUGGUUGCUAGUUGUGAGGUAUACAAAUGAGCACACAUGCAUUCCUAGGAUGGACAACAAGCUUGUUUACAAGCACAGUCAUUGCCAAAAAGUAUUUCAGACAGAUCAGACACAAUCCUACUUGGCAUGUAGAGCAUAUGCAGGAGGCGGUACUUGA